UACGUAGGGUGCAAGCGUUGUCCGGAAUUAUUGGGCGUAAAGAGCUCGUAGGUGGCCUGUCGCGUCGGCUGUGAAAACCUGGGGCUCAACCCCGGGCCUGCAGCCGAUACGGGCAAGCUAGAAUUCGGUAGGGGAGACUGGAAUUCCUGGUGUAGCGGUGAAAUGCGCAGAUAUCAGGAGGAACACCGGUGGCGAAGGCGGGUCUCUGGGCCGAUAUUGACGCUGAGGAGCGAAAGCGUGGGGAGCAAACAGG
RNAcentral lists this ribosomal RNA (253 nucleotides) under uncultured bacterium. Its description in RNAcentral is "partial 16S ribosomal RNA". It matches the Rfam family "Bacterial small subunit ribosomal RNA", at positions 524 to 776 of the family's 1533-position model. The record is from RNAcentral.